Molecule: RNase P RNA, 351 nt
Filed under: Spiroplasma diminutum CUAS-1
Lineage: Bacteria; Bacillati; Mycoplasmatota; Mollicutes; Entomoplasmatales; Spiroplasmataceae
Description: Bacterial RNase P class B
Rfam family: Bacterial RNase P class B
About the family: Ribonuclease P (RNase P) is a ubiquitous endoribonuclease, found in archaea, bacteria and eukarya as well as chloroplasts and mitochondria.
Source: Rfam by way of RNAcentral
AAUUUGAAUCAACUGCUAUAUUUGAAAAAUGAUAUAGAGGAAACUCCACGCUUGCACAUUCUGAGAUGAAUGUAGUGUUUGUGCUAAAGGAAAAAAUAACUUUAGGUACCAAUUUAUUGGUAACGACUUAGGCAUAAUCUAAGGGUACUUGUACCUAUGAUGAGCUUUUUAAAGUGCCACAGAGACGAUUAACUAGAAAUAGUGAAAUGGAACGGGUAAACUCCACAAGCAAGAAACUCAAAUUUUGGUAGAGGAGCUUAAAGGUGAGGAAUUGAACAAGCCUUUGGGAUCGCUAAAUGCGAUAGAUAGAUAGUUGAUGCACGUAAGUGUUACAAAACGUGGGUUAUGAUA